This 239-nucleotide long non-coding RNA is filed under the name Fukomys damarensis (Damara mole-rat). RNAcentral describes it as "lncRNA (ENSFDAG00000029531.1)". Lineage: Eukaryota; Metazoa; Chordata; Mammalia; Rodentia; Bathyergidae. The record is from RNAcentral.
CUACCUGUUGUAGAAGAUUCCCUCAGAAACAGGACGGUAACCAGAUACCCAGUAUGAGGCGGGCAGGUAUUGGGAUGUCUGUCACAGGGUGAGAUUACCCCUGCCUCUGUUGUGACUAAGCCACCAGUAGGAGACACAGCAGGUGAGCUGCACAUGAUUUUUCUCCAACUUCAUGGCAUCUCGUUGGAGUACCCAAGGAUUUCUCCUAUAAACAGCCCCCCAACACACACACCUGCUAU